GGCAUGGCCUAGUGAUAAGAGCACUUGAUUGGGAUUCAAGAGACACAAGUUCUAAUCCUGGUUCUGCCA
RNAcentral lists this transfer RNA (69 nucleotides) under Ornithorhynchus anatinus (platypus). It matches the Rfam family "tRNA". From Rfam's summary of the family: Transfer RNA (tRNA) molecules are approximately 80 nucleotides in length. Their secondary structure includes four short double-helical elements and three loops (D, anti-codon, and T loops). Further hydrogen bonds mediate the characteristic L-shaped molecular structure. tRNAs have two regions of fundamental functional importance: the anti-codon, which is responsible for specific mRNA codon recognition, and the 3' end, to which the tRNAs corresponding amino acid is attached (by aminoacyl-tRNA synthetases). tRNAs cope with the degeneracy of the genetic code in two manners: having more than one tRNA (with a specific anti-codon) for a particular amino acid; and 'wobble' base-pairing, i.e. permitting non-standard base-pairing at the 3rd anti-codon position. Lineage: Eukaryota; Metazoa; Chordata; Mammalia; Monotremata; Ornithorhynchidae. The record is from Rfam by way of RNAcentral.